AUUGAACGCUGGCGGCAUGCCUUACACAUGCAAGUCGAGCGCGAAAGGGGGCAACCCCGAGUAGAGCGGCGGACGGGUGAGUAACACAUCGGAACGUGCCCAGUAGUGGGGGACAACCUCGAGAAAUCGAGGCUAAUACCGCAUACGACCCACGGGUGAAAGCGGGGGACCGCAAGGCCUCGCGCUAUUGGAGCGGCCGAUGUCCGAUUAGCUAGUUGGCGGGGUAAGAGCCCACCAAGGCGACGAUCGGUAGCUGGUCUGAGAGGACGACCAGCCACACUGGGACUGAGACACGGCCCAGACUCCUACGGGAGGCAGCAGUGGGGAAUUUUGGACAAUGGGGCAACCCUGAUCCAGCCAUGCCGCGUGCGGGAAGAAGGCCUCGG
RNAcentral lists this ribosomal RNA (386 nucleotides) under uncultured bacterium. RNAcentral describes it as "bacterial SSU rRNA". It matches the Rfam family "Bacterial small subunit ribosomal RNA", at positions 29 to 420 of the family's 1533-position model. The record is from RNAcentral.